This 253-nucleotide ribosomal RNA is filed under the name uncultured bacterium. RNAcentral describes it as "partial 16S ribosomal RNA". It matches the Rfam family "Bacterial small subunit ribosomal RNA", at positions 524 to 776 of the family's 1533-position model. The record is from RNAcentral.
UACGGAGGGGACUAGCGUUGUUCGGAAUUACUGGGCGUAAAGCGCACGUAGGCGGCUUUGUAAGUCAGGGGUGAAAUCCCGAGGCCCAACCUCGGAACUGCCUUUGAUACUGCAAAUCUCGAGUCCGGAAGAGGUGAGUGGAAUUCCUAGUGUAGAGGUGAAAUUCGUAGAUAUUAGGAAGAACACCAGUGGCGAAGGCGGCUCACUGGUCCGGUACUGACGCUGAGGUGCGAAAGCGUGGGGAGCAAACAGG